RNAcentral lists this ribosomal RNA (253 nucleotides) under uncultured bacterium. RNAcentral describes it as "partial 16S ribosomal RNA". It matches the Rfam family "Bacterial small subunit ribosomal RNA", at positions 524 to 776 of the family's 1533-position model. The record is from RNAcentral.
UACGGAGGGUGCAAGCUUUAUCCGGAUUCACUGGGUUUAAAGGGUGCGUAGGCGGGCAGGUAAGUCCGUGGUGAAAUCUCUGAGCUUAACUCAGAAACUGCCAUGGAUACUAUUUGUCUUGAAUAUUGUGGAGGUAAGCGGAAUAUGUCAUGUAGCGGUGAAAUGCUUAGAUAUGACAUAGAACACCAAUUGCGAAGGCAGCUUACUACACAGUUAUUGACGCUGAGGCACGAAAGCGUGGGGAUCAAACAGG